RNAcentral lists this transfer RNA (71 nucleotides) under Marmota monax (woodchuck). It matches the Rfam family "tRNA". From Rfam's summary of the family: Transfer RNA (tRNA) molecules are approximately 80 nucleotides in length. Their secondary structure includes four short double-helical elements and three loops (D, anti-codon, and T loops). Lineage: Eukaryota; Metazoa; Chordata; Mammalia; Rodentia; Sciuridae. The record is from Rfam by way of RNAcentral.
GCGGUUGUGGCUCAGCGGUAGAGUGCAUGCCUAGCAAGCAUGAAGCACUGGGUUCGAUCCUCAACAUCACA